Molecule: ribosomal RNA, 252 nt
Filed under: uncultured bacterium
Lineage: Bacteria
Description: partial 16S ribosomal RNA
Rfam family: Bacterial small subunit ribosomal RNA
Source: RNAcentral
UACGUAGAUCCCGAGCGUUGUCCGGAUUUAUUGGGCGUAAAGCGAGCGCAGGUGGUUUAUUAAGUCUGGUGCAAAAGGCAGUGGCUCAACCAUUGUAUGCAUUGGAAACUGGUAGACUUGAGUGCAGGAGAGGAGAGUGGAAUUCCAUGUGUAGCGGUGAAAUGCGUAGAUAUAUGGAGGAACUCCGAUUGCGAAGGCAGCAUACCGGCGCCCGACUGACGCUGAAGCACGAAAGCGUGGGUAUCGAACAGG